RNAcentral lists this ribosomal RNA (482 nucleotides) under uncultured bacterium. Its description in RNAcentral is "partial 16S ribosomal RNA". It matches the Rfam family "Bacterial small subunit ribosomal RNA", at positions 30 to 507 of the family's 1533-position model. The record is from RNAcentral.
AUUGAACGCUGGCGGCAUGCUUUACACAUGCAAGUCGAACGGUAACAGGCCGCAAGGUGCUGACGAGUGGCGAACGGGUGCGUAAUGCAUCGGAACGUGCCCAGUCGUGGGGGGUAACUACUCGAAAGAGUAGCUAAUACCGCAUACGAUCUAUGGAUGAAAGCGGGGGACCGUAAGGCCUCGCGCGAUUGGAGCGGCCGAUGUCAGAUUAGGUAGUUGGUGGGGUAAAGGAUCACCAAGCCAACGAUCUGUAGCUGGUCUGAGAGGACGACCAGCCACACUGGGACUGAGACACGGCCCAGACUCCUACGGGAGGCAGCAGUGGGGAAUUUUGGACAAUGGGCGCAAGCCUGAUCCAGCAAUGCCGCGUGCAGGAAGAAGGCCUUCGGGUUGUAAACUGCUUUUGUACGGAACGAAACGGCUCUGGUUAAUACCCGGGGCUAAUGACGGUACCGUAAGAAUAAGCACCGGCUAACUACGUG